This 1022-nucleotide long non-coding RNA is filed under the name Olea europaea (common olive). RNAcentral's name for it is "long non-coding RNA (OEUR_LNC000800)". Lineage: Eukaryota; Viridiplantae; Streptophyta; Magnoliopsida; Lamiales; Oleaceae. The record is from RNAcentral.
GAAUUAGUCGGUGCACUGUUAACAAUUUUAUAUAGAGCUUUGUUGGGAAAAUAUGUGUAGUACAAACUUUUUUUUAUUAAUGAUUAAUUAUUUGAGUUUAUUAGUUUUAUCAGGUUUUGUGGUCAGCUUUGUUGGGAAAAUAUGUGUAGUGACAACUUUUUUUAUUAAUGAUUAACUAGUUGAGUUUAUUAGUUUUAUAAGGUUUUAUGGUCGAGUUCUUAGAUUUCAUAUGGUGUUUAAUGUAAUUAUGUUUGUGUUAUGCCUCAUCCAGGUUCGAAGAAUGUCCACGUUGUAGUCACUAAUGAGUGAACUCAGGUCUACGCUCCACGUCGCUUUGUCUACUUGGCAAUCCCGUCAAAUCCUCAUAAAGAGGUCAAAUCCUCAUGGACGAGAUGAGGCGAUACAUCCUCUAGGCACUUGAGGUGCGUCCCCAUGAGACUCUCGUACAAGAUCCUUUAUGAUAGAUUGAUGUGGCCACUCACGACAGCAGCCACUAUAUCAAGUUAACUUGUUAAGUCUAGGCAUAGACCAUAGGGUGGCAAAUUGUCAGAAACAUUAAAUACGCCUGAGCCGAUAAAAUGACGCCUAUGAUAAGGCAACUCGACUGUUAAGAUGAUAUCGCGUGUUUCUUCAUUCAACGGUCAUUAUUUUACACUUCUACGAUAAAAGCUCACACUUAAUGUCAUUUGAUAGGUAAUGUAAUUUUACACACUCAACUCUCAUUGAUCUCUCUCAUUUUUAAGUCUCUAUAAAUCCAUUCUAUUUUGACCCUCCAUAUUCAGAACACUUUUGUGGCUCACGUCAACAACAUGUCCCACACCCAAACAUUCUUAUAAGCGACUGACUUGAUUAUUGGACUGCAAGCGAUCACCUUCCCCAUCUUUGAGAAAGGUCACGUAUUGUUAACGAUUUGUUAGUAUGCAUGCGAGAGGUUAUGUGGACGUAAGUGAAGUAGGGAUCUAUUGGACACACCAGUCGUGCGAAAAUCGAGAGCAAUAGGGAUUGUAAUAUCCCAAAAUUUA